This 477-nucleotide ribosomal RNA is filed under the name Krebsia sp. New caledonia-RC-2003. RNAcentral's name for it is "partial 16S ribosomal RNA". It matches the Rfam family "Bacterial large subunit ribosomal RNA", at positions 1819 to 2597 of the family's 2925-position model. The record is from RNAcentral. Lineage: Eukaryota; Metazoa; Mollusca; Gastropoda; Littorinimorpha; Capulidae.
GUCUCUAUGUAAAUAUAUAGAGUUUGACCUGCCCGGUGUAAAUUGUAUUAACGGCCGCAGUAUUCUGACUGUGCAAAGGUAGCAUAAUCAUUUGUCUUUUAAUUGAGGACUAGUAUGAAUGGUUUGACAAGGACUAGACUGUCUCAAGAUAUAUUAUUAGAAUUUAACUUAUAAGUGAAAAGGCUUAUAUUUUACUGAUAGACAAGAAGACCCUAUCGAGCUUAAAAUCUUAAGGUAUUAUUUAUUUAAAGAUUUUUGGUUGGGGCGACGGAGGAAUAUAAGAAACUUCCUUAAAAAUAAAAUACUUAUAUGUUGUGAUCCAUUUUAUGAUCAAUAGAGAAGCUACCGUAGGGAUAACAGCGUAAUUUUCUUUUAGAGUUCUUAUCGAAAAGGGAGUUUGCGACCUCGAUGUUGGACUAGAGGAGCCAAAAGGUGCAGAAGUUUUUUAAGGUUAGUCUGUUCGACUAUUAAAUCUCU